AGACUGGAAUGAAUGGAAUAAUGGGGCAUUACUUUCUUAAGUUAAAUGUUAAAAAUAAUUUUUUAAGUGAAGAAACUUAAAUAAUAAUAAAAGACGAGAAGACCCUAUUAAGCUUAAAAUAAAAUUAUUUUGUUGGGGAAACAAAAGAAAAAUUUUUCUUUAAAUCUUUUUUUUGAUAAAAAGUGAUUUAUUACUAAUAAUAAUAGAAAAAGUUACUAUAGGGAUAACAGCAUAAUUUUUUUUAAAAGUUCAUAUUAACAAAAAAGAUUAUGACCUCGAUGUUGGAUUAAAAUAAUUGUAUGGUGAAGUUAUUGUAUGAAUUAGUCUGUUCGACUAUUAAAGUUUUA
This 347-nucleotide ribosomal RNA is filed under the name Peripatidae sp. MZUSP 0019. Its description in RNAcentral is "partial 16S ribosomal RNA". The stretch from base 223 to 347 matches the Rfam family "Bacterial large subunit ribosomal RNA", at positions 2473 to 2598 of the family's 2925-position model. Lineage: Eukaryota; Metazoa; Onychophora; Udeonychophora; Euonychophora; Peripatidae. The record is from RNAcentral.